RNAcentral lists this ribosomal RNA (435 nucleotides) under uncultured bacterium. RNAcentral's name for it is "bacterial SSU rRNA". It matches the Rfam family "Bacterial small subunit ribosomal RNA", at positions 958 to 1392 of the family's 1533-position model. The record is from RNAcentral.
AACGCGAAGAACCUUACCUGGGUUUGACAUGCACAGGACGUGCCUAGAGAUAGGUAUUCCCUUGUGGCCUGUGUGCAGGUGGUGCAUGGCUGUCGUCAGCUCGUGUCGUGAGAUGUUGGGUUAAGUCCCGCAACGAGCGCAACCCUUAUCUUAUGUUGCCAGCGCGUAAUGGCGGGGACUCGUGAGAGACUGCCGGGGUCAACUCGGAGGAAGGUGGGGAUGACGUCAAGUCAUCAUGCCCCUUAUGUCCAGGGCUUCACACAUGCUACAAUGGCCGGUACAAAGGGCUGCGAUGCCGUGAGGUGGAGCGAAUCCUUUCAAAGCCGGUCUCAGUUCGGAUCGGGGUCUGCAACUCGACCCCGUGAAGUCGGAGUCGCUAGUAAUCGCAGAUCAGCAACGCUGCGGUGAAUACGUUCCCGGGCCUUGUACACACCG